Molecule: ribosomal RNA, 253 nt
Filed under: uncultured bacterium
Lineage: Bacteria
Description: partial 16S ribosomal RNA
Rfam family: Bacterial small subunit ribosomal RNA
Source: RNAcentral
UACGGAGGGUGCAAGCGUUAUCCGGAUUUACUGGGUUUAAAGGGUGUGUAGGCGGACUUUUAAGUCAGCGGUGAAAUCUCCGGGCUCAACCCGGAAACUGCCAUUGAUACUAUUGGUCUUGAAUGUUGUUGAGGUGGGCGGAACGGGUCAUGUAGCGGUGAAAUGCAUAGACAUGACCCGGAACACCGAUUGCGAAGGCAGCCCACUAAGCAAUGAUUGACGCUGAGGCACGAAAGCGUGGGGAUCAAACAGG